GACGAACGCUGGCGGCGUGCUUAACACAUGCAAGUCGAACGGAAAGGCCCUGCUUUUGUGGGGUGCUCGAGUGGCGAACGGGUGAGUAACACGUGAGUAACCUGCCCUUGACUUUGGGAUAACUUCAGGAAACUGGGGCUAAUACCGGAUAGGAGCUCCUGCUGCAUGGUGGGGGUUGGAAAGUUUCGGCGGUUGGGGAUGGACUCGCGGCUUAUCAGCUUGUUGGUGGGGUAGUGGCUUACCAAGGCUUUGACGGGUAGCCGGCCUGAGAGGGUGACCGGCCAAAUUGGGACUGAGAUAAGGCCCAGACUCCUACGGGAGGCAGCAGUGGGGAAUAUUGCACAAUGGGCGGAAGCCUGAUGCAGCAACGCCGCGUGCGGGAUGACGGCCUUCGGGUUGUAAACCGCUUUCGCCUGUGACGAAGCGUGAGUGACGGUAAUGGGUAAAGAAGCACCGGCUAAAUACGUG
RNAcentral lists this ribosomal RNA (468 nucleotides) under uncultured bacterium. RNAcentral's name for it is "partial 16S ribosomal RNA". It matches the Rfam family "Bacterial small subunit ribosomal RNA", at positions 28 to 507 of the family's 1533-position model. The record is from RNAcentral.